This 434-nucleotide ribosomal RNA is filed under the name uncultured Clostridium sp. Its description in RNAcentral is "partial 16S ribosomal RNA". It matches the Rfam family "Bacterial small subunit ribosomal RNA", at positions 341 to 792 of the family's 1533-position model. Lineage: Bacteria; Bacillati; Bacillota; Clostridia; Eubacteriales; Clostridiaceae. The record is from RNAcentral.
ACGGAAGGCAGCAGUGGGGAAUAUUGCACAAUGGGGGAAACCCUGAUGCAGCGACGCCGCGUGAAGGAUGAAGUAUUUCGGUAUGUAAACUUCUAUCAGCAGGGAAGAAAAUGACGGUACCUGACUAAGAAGCCCCGGCUAACUACGUGCCAGCAGCCGCGGUAAUACGUAGGGGGCAAGCGUUAUCCGGAUUUACUGGGUGUAAAGGGAGCGUAGACGGUAUGGCAAGUCUGAAGUGAAAGCCCGGGGCUCAACCCCGGGACUGCUUUGGAAACUGUUAAACUAGAGUGUCGGAGAGGCAAGUGGAAUUCCUAGUGUAGCGGUGAAAUGCGUAGAUAUUAGGAGGAACACCAGUGGCGAAGGCGGCUUACUGGACUGUAACUGACGUUGAGGCUCGAAGGCGUGGGGAGCAAACAGGAUUAGAUACCCUGGUA